AUGCAAUCUUUGCCUAGGAAUCUUCCUGCACAGAUUUAUGAGGAGUCCAAGAUGAAUUUGGAGCAGGAGAGGCCGUUUGUCUGCAGUGCCCCAGGCUGCUCCCAGGUGAGUGUGGGGGGUCCUCUGCUCUGCCGGCAGGGGACGCAGUACCUUCCCACAGGGAGGCACCUCUCACUUGGCCAUCAUGCCUGCUGCGGGCUUUCCUUCUUAUACCAGGAUAUUCUCACCACCGCCACCACCAUCAUUAUCAUUUUCCACUUUGAAUACUUUGAACUACUUCCCGCCCAGCCUCUGCGAUACAUUGGUGUUGGCCAUUUCCCCCCAUAACUUUCCCCGGGAAGUAAGCCAGCCGAAUCCUGCCCACCAGAUGUUCAGGAUUGAUAUUUCAGACUAGGGGAAAGAGGGUGCCUGCUUUGACAAUAGCCACUUAAAUUCUGGGCCAUUGGAUUACUGGUGAAAUAGCUCACCGGCAGAGACUGAAUUCGAUUUCGUUUUGUUUUCCCACUUGAGUAAAAUAAAACUCCUAGACUGUACUAGAACCCACAGUUUUUCCACUUAUCUUUAAGAGAUGAAGUUGGCCUACUGUGCUGGAUUAACCCUCUUUUGGCUUCCAGUGGUUCCUAUCAAGUGGAUUAGAUGUGAGACUUAGAUGAAGUUCUAUGUGCAGAGUGUUAAUAAAGGACCAGCACAUUGUGCUCAAUUAAGAUCCACUGUUGCUAUGACGACUGCGGCUAUUCGUAUAUGAGAACCCCUGUCUUUGAAAGAAAUUGGAAACAUCCAUGAUCUAAAAUCAGAGUUUGGCAUUUUCCCUUUGGAACUUGAUGGAGACUUUUUCUACCCUUGACCCUUUGGAUAUCUCCAAGUUCUAGUCAUUGGAAAAUGACUACACGUGGUGCUCUCAUGCCAAGAUCUUCGUUUUAUGGGAUAAACAGCAAGCUUAGAACUCAGAGCACAGGCAUGUGGGUAGUUAUGCUCUCCUUCUCUAAAGUGCCCAGUAGUUUCAAGUGGAAUCAGGCCCCAUAUUUUUGUCUGUUUAUAUUGUGGGGUUGGUGGCACAGCGUGGAACUAUGUCUGUGAGUCAAUGAGAGGCGAUGUCCAUUAAGGACCCUUUCAUUUUAUCUCCCCAGAGAGUGUGAGGAGGGUUCUGGAAGCUUCCUGGGGGGAAGAUGCCAUGGGAACAUGAGAUGUUACUGCCCUGUGAUGCUGCUGGUGACAUCAGACCCUGGCUAAGAAACCAGCAUCCCUUGCUUGGAUUCUAGUAGAUUCUGCAAGGGCUUUCUAUGAAUGCUGGUUUUCACUCUACAAAUAAGGAAAGCAGCGGAGAAAAUUAUUUUGAAAUUCAACUACUUAGGGCUGGUUUUGGAGGUCCCUUUGAAAUAGGAAACA
This 1386-nucleotide long non-coding RNA is filed under the name Capra hircus (goat). RNAcentral describes it as "lncRNA (ENSCHIG00010002821.1)". Lineage: Eukaryota; Metazoa; Chordata; Mammalia; Artiodactyla; Bovidae. The record is from RNAcentral.